UGGGGAAUAUUGGACAAUGGAGGGAACUCUGACCCAGCCAUGCCGCGUGCAGGAUGAAGGCGUUAUGCGUUGUAAACUGCUUUUAUAUAGGAAGAAAUAGUCCUUGCGAGGAAAGUUGACGGUACUAUAUGAAUAAGCACCGGCUAACUCCGUGCCAGCAGCCGCGGUAAUACGGAGGGUGCAAGCGUUGUCCGGAUUUAUUGGGUUUAAAGGGUGCGUAGGCGGUUUAUUAAGUCAGUGGUGAAAGACGGUCGCUCAACGAUUGCAGUGCCAUUGAUACUGGUAGACUUGAGUAUGAUUGAGGUAGCUGGAAUGGAUAGUGUAGCGGUGAAAUGCAUAGAUAUUAUCCAGAACACCAAUUGCGUAGGCAAGUUACUAAGUCAUAACUGACGCUGAGGCACGAAAGUGUGGGUAUCAAACAGGAUUAGAUACCCUAGUAGUCCCUGAGCGGGCUGGCAAGGCGCAU
RNAcentral lists this ribosomal RNA (466 nucleotides) under uncultured bacterium. RNAcentral describes it as "bacterial SSU rRNA". It matches the Rfam family "Bacterial small subunit ribosomal RNA", at positions 355 to 825 of the family's 1533-position model. The record is from RNAcentral.